GUGCUUACAUUAGCAGCAUACUUACUAAAGUUGAACGAUACAGAGAAGAUUAGUGUGGCCACUGUGCAAACAUGACACACAUUUGUGCAAUGUUCCAUAUAUAU
Tupaia belangeri (northern tree shrew) is the source of this 104-nucleotide small nuclear RNA. Lineage: Eukaryota; Metazoa; Chordata; Mammalia; Scandentia; Tupaiidae. The record is from Ensembl.